RNAcentral lists this ribosomal RNA (467 nucleotides) under uncultured bacterium. Its description in RNAcentral is "partial 16S ribosomal RNA". It matches the Rfam family "Bacterial small subunit ribosomal RNA", at positions 28 to 506 of the family's 1533-position model. The record is from RNAcentral.
GACGAACGCUGGCGGCGUGCUUAACACAUGCCAGUCGAACGGAAAGGCCCUGCUUUUGUGGGGUGCUCGAGUGGCGAACGGGUGAGUAACACGUGAGUAACCUGCCCUUGACUUUGGGAUAACUUCAGGAAACUGGGGCUAAUACCGGAUAGGAGCUCCUGCUGCAUGGUGGGGGUUGGAAAGUUUCGGCGGUUGGGGAUGGACUCGCGGCUUAUCAGCUUGUUGGUGGGGUAGUGGCUUACCAAGGCUUUGACGGGUAGCCGGCCUGGGAGGGUGACCGGCAACAUUGGGACUGAGAUACGGCCCAGACUCCUACGGGAGGAAGCAGUGGGGAAUAUUGCACAAUGGGCGGAAGCCUGAUGCAGCAACGCCGCGUGCGGGAUGACGGCCUUCGGGUUGUAAACCGCUUUCGCCUGUGACGAAGCGUGAGUGACGGUAAUGGGGAAAGAAGCACCGGCUAACUACGU